GAACGAACGCUGGCGGCAUGCCUACCCCAUGCAAGUCGAACGAGACCUUCGGGUCUAGUGGCGCACGGGUGCGUAACGCGUGGGAACCUGCCCUUAGGUUCGGAAUAACUCCCCGAAAGGGGUGCUAAUACCGGAUAAUGUCUUCGGACCAAAGAUUUAUCGCCUUUGGAUGGGCCCGCGUUGGAUUAGCUAGUUGGUAGGGUAAAAGCCUACCAAGGCGACGAUCCAUAGCUGGUCUGAGAGGAUGAUCAGCCACACUGGGACUGAGACACGGCCCAGACUCCUACGGGAGGCAGCAGUGGGGAAUAUUGGACAAUGGGCGAAAGCCUGAUCCAGCAAUGCCGCGUGAGUGAUGAAGGCCUUAGGGUUGUAAAGCUCUUUUACCCGGGAUGAUAAUGACAGUACCGGGAGAAUAAGCGCCGGCUAACUCCGUG
This 434-nucleotide ribosomal RNA is filed under the name uncultured bacterium. Its description in RNAcentral is "partial 16S ribosomal RNA". It matches the Rfam family "Bacterial small subunit ribosomal RNA", at positions 27 to 507 of the family's 1533-position model. The record is from RNAcentral.